Molecule: long non-coding RNA, 829 nt
Filed under: Equus caballus (horse)
Lineage: Eukaryota; Metazoa; Chordata; Mammalia; Perissodactyla; Equidae
Description: lncRNA (ENSECAG00000057999.1)
Source: RNAcentral
GAAUCUUUCUGAUGGUACCACAUGAUUAACCUCAAGCCGAUGUUGAAACCUAAGCUGCUGGGAGAGGGGCAGGAGAGAAGAAAGUUCCCCAAACAGAGCUCAGCCUCUCGCCCAACUCUUUACUCCUCCUGAUCAGCCAGAAGACUUGGACAUCAAAGGAACCAGGGAAAUUUGGCCUGGAGACAUCAGACCGAGAGGAAUCAUUCAGCCAGGAGAGAGCUGUCUCACCACAAGGAUCUUUGUCUUCUAUAUCCUGACACCUCUGGAAGAUCCUGAGGAAGAAAUAUGACAUGUGAGAAACUUCCUGCCUUCCUUCCCGCCUCUGAGGAUUCGUGCACAGCACAAUAGAGUUUUUUGCAACCAGCUUCCAGCUCCAUGCAUUCAAAGAUGGGAGAACUGCAUUCAAGGAUGGUAGAACUGGUUAGCUUUUUCUUCCUUCUUGGCAAAUUUUAGCAACAAGCGGGAGCAUAAUUUCCUUAGCUUUUAUUAAGUUUUUCAGAAGCAUGGGUGUUGAUCUUUUCUACUUUUCUUUGGGAAGCAAUUUCUGACUUGCUCCAGGUAUAAGAUGCAUUUGCCCAUGACGCUUCGGAAUUGAACCUCUAGACCACACAUGGCGAUGGUCAGCAGAAGCAGUGGGGCUCUGGGAAUUACACAAAAGGCUGAAAAUUCUCUUAUUCUGCUGCCAAGUUCUCCAUUUACCGCCGAGGCAACCUGGGGAAAAUAGUUGGACUCUUUGUGCUCAGUUUCCUACUCUGGAUUCAAGUUGGAGAAAACAAUGCCGAUUACAUUUUCAGCAGCUGCAAAUAAAAUUGGAAGUAAAGCUGUUUUG